RNAcentral lists this long non-coding RNA (838 nucleotides) under Citrus sinensis (sweet orange). RNAcentral's name for it is "long non-coding RNA (CSIN_LNC003553)". Lineage: Eukaryota; Viridiplantae; Streptophyta; Magnoliopsida; Sapindales; Rutaceae. The record is from RNAcentral.
GUUUAAUGAAAAAGAUACUUAUAAUGAAGAUGAGAUCAACGAAAUUUGCUCUGAUUGGACCACUUAUGUUAGUGACUUGAUUUGAAAAAAUAAAUGCAAAAGAGACAAGUAAUGCAGGUAAAUAGCAUAUGAUUCAAUUGAAGUACAUUAGUUUAUUGUUAAUAUUUUUCAUGCAUAGAUUUUUCCUUCUCUUUGUGCAUAGAUAUCUUAUGCUUUCAUUGCAUAAGGCAACUAUAUCAUCUAGUUGGAUUCAUAAUAAAAGCUCUCAGUUAAUUCAAUCAAAAUUUGGCAAUGCCUUACUGGUAACCAUGACUUACUUUUUUAACCUCUUCCUUAAACAGUAACAGUAGUAUAUGGCAGUAAUUUUGGUUUCUUAAUGUGUAGGGCUAUGCCGCGGAGUUAUAUAGAUCUCAAGACCAAGACACAUUUACAAUCAAAGAGGAUAUAAGGGUUAUAAAAUAUUAGAUCUAUUGGGUUAAUGGAAAUUUGUUUAAAAGCUUUUCUUUUUGUAUGUACAACGCUGCUAUGAAAAACUUUUGGACUGAUGGUGGAAUGCUAACUAUAGGCUCAAUGUAUAGUUUUAGAAACAACAUCUUAUUUUAGAUUUAUACUUAAGACAUUUGAUACAUUUAUACGUACAAUGCAAGUUCAUGUUAAUAUGAAUUCAGGUUUCCUAUGCUUUAUUAUGGUGUUUGAAGUUAGUGGAAAUUUUUUGAAUUUUAUCAAGUUUCAAUGUUAUAAUAUAUAUAAUGUGCAGCCCAAGACAAGGAAUUUCACUAUUGUAAUUUCUUUUUUUUUUAAUUAUAAUAUUUGAUUUUUUUAUCAAGUCAUUUUCAUU